GACGAACGCUGGCGGCGUGCUUAACACAUGCAAGUCGAGCGACUGCAUUCUUUUCGGAGGGUGUAUGGAGCGGCGAACGGGUGAGUAACACGUGAGUAAUCUGCCUUUGGCUUGGGAAUAACUUCGGGAAAUCGGGGCUAAUGCCUGAUGUUUACUGUCUGCUGCAUGGUGGGUGGUGGAAAGAUUUUUGGUCCGACGGGAGUGAGCUCGCGGUCUAUCAGC
RNAcentral lists this ribosomal RNA (222 nucleotides) under uncultured bacterium. RNAcentral describes it as "partial 16S ribosomal RNA". It matches the Rfam family "Bacterial small subunit ribosomal RNA", at positions 28 to 245 of the family's 1533-position model. The record is from RNAcentral.